GAUGAACGCUAGCUACAGGCUUAACACAUGCAAGUCGAGGGGAAACGACAUCGAAAGCUUGCUUUUGAUGGGCGUCGACCGGCGCACGGGUGAGUAACGCGUAUCCAACCUGCCCAUCACUUGGGAAUAACCUUGCGAAAGUAAGAUUAAUACCCAAUGAUAUCCCACGAAGGCAUCGGAAUGGGAUUAAAGAUUUAUCGGUGAUGGAUGGGGAUGCGUCUGAUUAGCUUGUUGGCGGGGUAACGGCCCACCAAGGCAACGAUCAGUAGGGGUUCUGAGAGGAAGGUCCCCCACAUUGGAACUGAGACACGGUCCAAACUCCUACGGGAGGCAGCAGUGAGGAAUAUUGGUCAAUGGGCGAGAGCCUGAACCAGCCAAGUAGCGUGCAGGAAGACGGCCCUAUGGGUUGUAAACUGCUUUUAUAAGGGAAUAAAGUGGGUCACGUGUGACUUUUUGCAUGUACCUUAUGAAUAAGGACCGGCUAAUUCCGUG
RNAcentral lists this ribosomal RNA (492 nucleotides) under uncultured bacterium. RNAcentral describes it as "partial 16S ribosomal RNA". It matches the Rfam family "Bacterial small subunit ribosomal RNA", at positions 28 to 507 of the family's 1533-position model. The record is from RNAcentral.